GACGAACGCUGGCGGCGUGCUUAACACAUGCAAGUCGAACGAUGAAGGAGAGCUUGCUCUCCGGAUUAGUGGCGAACGGGUGAGUAACACGUGACUAACCUGCCCCUUUCUCUGGGAUAACGCUCCGAAAGGAGUGCUAAUACCGGAUACGAACUCUGAAUACAUGUUCGGAGUUGGAAAGUUUUUCGGAAAGGGAUGGAGUCGCGGCCUAUCAGCUUGUUGGUGAGGUAACGGCUCACCAAGGCGACGACGGGUAGCCGGCCUGAGAGGGCGACCGGCCAAACUGGGACUGAGACACGGCCCAGACUCCUACGGGAGGCAGCAGUGGGGAAUAUUGCACAAUGGGCGAAAGCCUGAUGCAGCGACGCCGCGUGAGGGAUGAAGGUCUUCGGAUUGUAAACCUCUUUCAGUAGGGACGAAGCGAAAGUGACGGUACCUAAAGAAGAAGCACCGGCUAACUACGUGCCAGCAGCCGCCGUAA
RNAcentral lists this ribosomal RNA (481 nucleotides) under uncultured bacterium. RNAcentral describes it as "partial 16S ribosomal RNA". It matches the Rfam family "Bacterial small subunit ribosomal RNA", at positions 28 to 523 of the family's 1533-position model. The record is from RNAcentral.